CGAAUAGGGGAGCCGAAGGGAAACCGAGUCUUAACUGGGCGUUAAGUUGCAGGGUAUAGACCCGAAACCCGGUGAUCUAGCCAUGGGCAGGUUGAAGGUUGGGUAACACUAACUGGAGGACCGAACCGACUAAUGUUGAAAAAUUAGCGGAUGACUUGUGGCUGGGGGUGAAAGGCCAAUCAAACCGGGAGAUAGCUGGUUCUCCCCGAAAGCUAUUUAGGUAGCGCCUCGUGAAUUCAUCUCCGGGGGUAGAGCACUGUUUCGGCAAGGGGGUCAUCCCGACUUACCAACCCGAUGCAAACUGCGAAUACCGGAGAAUGUUAUCACGGGAGACACACGGCGGGUGCUAACGUCCGUCGUGAAGAGGGAAACAACCCAGACCGCCAGCUAAGGUCCCAAAGUCAUGGUUAAGUGGGAAACGAUGUGGGAAGGCCCAGACAGCCAGGAUGUUGGCUUAGAAGCAGCCAUCAUUUAAAGAAAGCGUAAUAGCUCACUGGUCGAGUCGGCCUGCGCGGAAGAUGUAACGGGGCUAAACCAUGCACCGAAGCUGCGGCAGCGACACUGUGUGUUGUUGGGUAGGGGAGCGUUCUGUAAGCCUGUGAAGGUGUGCUGUGAGGCAUGCUGGAGGUAUCAGAAGUGCGAAUGCUGACAUAAGUAACGAUAAAGCGGGUGAAAAGCCCGCUCGCCGGAAGACCAAGGGUUCCUGUCCAACGUUAAUCGGGGCAGGGUGAGUCGACCCCUAAGGCGAGGCCGAAAGGCGUAGUCGAUGGGAAACAGGUUAAUAUUCCUGUACUUGGUGUUACUGCGAAGGGGGGACGGAGAAGGCUAUGUUGGCCGGGCGACGGUUGUCCCGGUUUAAGCGUGUAGGCUGGUUUUCCAGGCAAAUCCGGAAAAUCAAGGCUGAGGCGUGAUGACGAGGCACUACGGUGCUGAAGCAACAAAUGCCCUGCUUCCAGGAAAAGCCUCUAAGCAUCAGGUAACAUCAAAUCGUACCCCAAACCGACACAGGUGGUCAGGUAGAGAAUACCAAGGCGCUUGAGAGAACUCGGGUGAAGGAACUAGGCAAAAUGGUGCCGUAACUUCGGGAGAAGGCACGCUGAUAUGUAGGUGAAGCGACUUGCUCGUGGAGCUGAAAUCAGUCGAAGAUACCAGCUGGCUGCAACUGUUUAUUAAAAACACAGCACUGUGCAAACACGAAAGUGGACGUAUACGGUGUGACGCCUGCCCGGUGCCGGAAGGUUAAUUGAUGGGGUCAGCCGCAAGGCGAAGCUCUUGAUCGAAGCCCCGGUAAACGGCGGCCGUAACUAUAACGGUCCUAAGGUAGCGAAAUUCCUUGUCGGGUAAGUUCCGACCUGCACGAAUGGCGUAAUGAUGGCCAGGCUGUCUCCACCCGAGACUCAGUGAAAUUGAACUCGCUGUGAAGAUGCAGUGUACCCGCGGCAAGACGGAAAGACCCCGUGAACCUUUACUAUAGCUUGACACUGAACAUUGAGCCUUGAUGUGUAGGAUAGGUGGGAGGCUUUGAAGCGUGGACGCCAGUCUGCGUGGAGCCGACCUUGAAAUACCACCCUUUAAUGUUUGAUGUUCUAACGUAGACCCUAUCGGGUUGCGGACAGUGUCUGGUGGGUAGUUUGACUGGGGCGGUCUCCUCCUAAAGAGUAACGGAGGAGCACGAAGGUUGGCUAAUCCUGGUCGGACAUCAGGAGGUUAGUGCAAUGGCAUAAGCCAGCUUGACUGCGAGCGUGACGGCGCGAGCAGGUGCGAAAGCAGGUCAUAGUGAUCCGGUGGUUCUGAAUGGAAGGGCCAUCGCUCAACGGAUAAAAGGUACUCCGGGGAUAACAGGCUGAUACCGCCCAAGAGUUCAUAUCGACGGCGGUGUUUGGCACCUCGAUGUCGGCUCAUCACAUCCUGGGGCUGAAGUAGGUCCCAAGGGUAUGGCUGUUCGCCAUUUAAAGUGGUACGCGAGCUGGGUUUAGAACGUCGUGAGACAGUUCGGUCCCUAUCUGCCGUGGGCGCUGGAGAACUGAGGGGGGCUGCUCCUAGUACGAGAGGACCGGAGUGGACGCAUCACUGGUGUUCGGGUUGUCAUGCCAAUGGCACUGCCCGGUAGCUAAAUGCGGAAGAGAUAAGUGCUGAAAGCAUCUAAGCACGAAACUUGCCCCGAGAUGAGUUCUCCCUGACUCCUUGAGAGUCCUGAAGGAACGUUGAAGACGACGACGUUGAUAGGCCGGGUGUGUAAGCGCAGCGAUGCGUUGAGCUAACCGGUACUAAUGAACCGUGAGGCUUAACCUU
Molecule: ribosomal RNA, 2292 nt
Filed under: Escherichia coli 1-176-05_S3_C2
Lineage: Bacteria; Pseudomonadati; Pseudomonadota; Gammaproteobacteria; Enterobacterales; Enterobacteriaceae
Description: bacterial LSU rRNA
Rfam family: Bacterial large subunit ribosomal RNA
Source: RNAcentral